CCUACGGGAGGCUGCAGUGAGGAAUAUUGGUCAAUGGGCUUGCGCCUGAACCAGCCAAGUCGCGUGAGGGAGGACUGCCCUACGGGUUGUAAACCUCUUUUGCCAGGGAGCAACGCGCGCCACGUGUGGCGCCACUGAGAGUACCCGGAGAAAAAGCAUCGGCUAACUCCGUGCCAGCAGCCGCGGUAAUACGGAGGAUGCGAGCGUUAUCCGGAUUUAUUGGGUUUAAAGGGUGCGUAGGCGGAACGCUAAGUCAGCGGUAAAAGCGCGGGGCUCAACCUCUUCCCGCCGUUGAAACUGGCGCUCUUGAGUGGAAGAGAAGUAUGCGGAAUGCGUGGUGUAGCGGUGAAAUGCAUAGAUAUCACGCAGAACCCCGAUUGCGAAGGCAGCAUGCCGGCUUCCAACUGACGCUGAAGCACGAAAGCGUGGGGAUCGAACAGGAUUAGAUACCCGUGUAGUC
This 460-nucleotide ribosomal RNA is filed under the name uncultured bacterium. Its description in RNAcentral is "partial 16S ribosomal RNA". It matches the Rfam family "Bacterial small subunit ribosomal RNA", at positions 338 to 795 of the family's 1533-position model. The record is from RNAcentral.